UAGGGAACCUUCCACAAUGGGCGAAAGCCUGAUGGAGCAACGCCGCGUGUGUGAUGAAGGGUUUCGGCUCGUAAAACACUGUUGUAAGAGAAGAAUGACAUUGAGAGUAACUGUUCAAUGUGUGACGGUAUCUUACCAGAAAGGAACGGCUAAAUACGUGCCAA
RNAcentral lists this ribosomal RNA (164 nucleotides) under uncultured bacterium. RNAcentral describes it as "partial 16S rRNA". It matches the Rfam family "Bacterial small subunit ribosomal RNA", at positions 355 to 511 of the family's 1533-position model. The record is from RNAcentral.